GACAGAGGUCUCAAGCGUUAGGCGGAAUCACUGGGCUUAAAGCGUGUGUAGGCGGAUCGUUAAGUGCUUUGUGAAAUCCCACAGCUCAACUGUGGAACUGCUUGGCAUACUGGCGGUCUUGAGCCAUCUAGGGGUCGCUGGAACAAACGGUGGAGCGGUGAAAUGCGUAGAUAUCGUUUGGAACACCAGUGGCGAAGGCGACUCUUUGGCCUGUAACUGACGCUGAGGCGCGAAAGCGUGGGGAGCAAACAGG
Molecule: ribosomal RNA, 253 nt
Filed under: uncultured bacterium
Lineage: Bacteria
Description: partial 16S ribosomal RNA
Rfam family: Bacterial small subunit ribosomal RNA
Source: RNAcentral